GAUAUAUUGGUGCCCUGAGAGCAUCACAUAACAACCACAUCCCUCCUCUAAAGAAGUCCCUGGGAGCACAGCUCAUCACCAUGGACUGGACCUGGAGGCUCCUCUUUGUGGUGGCAGCAGCUACAGGUGCCCAGUCCCAGGUCCAGCUGGUGCAGUCCGGGGCUGAGGUGAAGAAGCCUGGGGCCUCAGUGAAGGUCUCCUGCAAGGCUUCUGGAUUCACCUUCGGCAGCUAUGCUAUCAGCUGGGUGCGACAGGCCCCUGGACAAGGGCUUGAGUGGAUGGGAUGGAUCAUCCUGUCGGCUGGUAUAACAAACUACGCACAGAAGUUCCAGGGCAGAGUCACGAUUACCGCGGACACGUCCACGAGCACAGCCUACAUGGAGCUGAGCAGCCUGAGAUCCGAGGACACGGCCGUGUAUUACUGUGGGGGAGGCACAGGGAGUUGCACCAGGAACUCACGAAGGAUCAGGGAGAAUUCUGAGAACACCCUGCUGCGGUGCUGCUGAGAGGGGAAGAAUAAAUAUGAAAAAAUACAACUCUGAGUAACGUAUGGACAUUCGUUCAUGAAAACUCUUUUUCUGAAAGCUUGUGAAGGUCUUGAAAUGCCCCCGAUUAGCUGAGGACAAACAUUUGAACCCUCCUUCCACAAAGAGUUCAAGCAGGCUGGAUGUGUCCUUCUAUGAGUGAUCUUCCCCAGCCCCUUCCUCUUCCCAGCUCAUCCCUGGCUCUCUGUGUAAACAGUGCUCAUCAGUGGAAUGUGGUUGAUGAAGUGAAGUCUUCAAUUUUCUCAUCUUCUGUGUGGUCAUGUUGUUUUUUUCAUCUGAGGUUUAAAAACUCACCUGCAAGCAGCACCUGACAGCUUAAAAUCUCUUGUGGACAAAACAGUAAGUAACAAAGGCACCCACCAGGGCUGAGCAUCCCGUGUUGCUGACAGCGACCACCAGGAGUCAACGUCCUCCUCACAAUCCUGUGUCAGAGCAUCCCCUGAGUGAUUUCAUUAGCAACUUCCCAGGAGAAUCAGCUUAAAACUACUUGUCCCAUUUUCCAUAGAGAUAUAACUCGUUCCUUUUCCUGAAGAAAUAGAGCUGAAUACUAAAUACACUGAAUGAUGUUUUUGCUUGUUUUGCAAGUUUGUGACUUUAUCACUUUCUAAUUUCUGAGUUACGUGGAUCACUCUACAUAUUUCUGUCACGGGUGUGAGCAGCCUUCUGGAUGUCAAAUAUAAUUGACUUUCUUCAUGUAAAAGUGAACACAAGCUCCUCACGUCUUCUGUGCUCACUGACAAUUCUCAACUCAC
Non-coding RNA from Cercocebus atys (sooty mangabey), 1297 nucleotides. The record is from the annotation of a RefSeq genome assembly. Lineage: Eukaryota; Metazoa; Chordata; Mammalia; Primates; Cercopithecidae.